This 230-nucleotide ribosomal RNA is filed under the name uncultured bacterium. RNAcentral describes it as "partial 16S ribosomal RNA". It matches the Rfam family "Bacterial small subunit ribosomal RNA", at positions 104 to 334 of the family's 1533-position model. The record is from RNAcentral.
CGGGGUGGAGUAAUGUCUGGGAAACUGCCUGAUGGAGGGGGGUAACUACUGGAAACGGUAGCUAAUACCGCAUAAUGUCGCAAGACCAAAGUGGGGGACCUUCGGGCCUCUUGCCAUCGGAUGUGCCCAGAUGGGAUUAGCUAGUAGGUGGGGUAACGGCUCACCUAGGCGACGAUCCCUAGCUGGUCUGAGAGGAUGGCCAGCCACACUGGAACUGAGACACGGUCCAG